GCCUUGGUGGUGCAGUGGUAGCACGUCGGCAUUCACUCGCUGAAGACCCGAGUUCGAAACUUGGCUAGGGCA
Molecule: non-coding RNA, 72 nt
Organism: Byssothecium circinans
Lineage: Eukaryota; Fungi; Ascomycota; Dothideomycetes; Pleosporales; Massarinaceae
Source: the annotation of a GenBank genome assembly